GAGCCGGCGGCGGAGCAGGUGAACGCGCUGCGGAAAUCGGUGCCGGGCGGCAUGGGCCACGGCUGCGAGUUCGAGACGUCGUUCCAGCUCGCCA
This 94-nucleotide transfer RNA is filed under the name Hyphomicrobiales bacterium. RNAcentral's name for it is "Rhizobiales bacterium (soil metagenome) tRNA-Phe". The record is from RNAcentral. Lineage: Bacteria; Pseudomonadati; Pseudomonadota; Alphaproteobacteria; Hyphomicrobiales.